GAAAGAAAGAAAGAAAGAAAAUACUAGAAAGGAACAGACUUCACGCCAUGUAUCAUGCACAACAGAAGAAAAAAGUCUAAUUAGACAAGAAAAGGAAAAUAGAGAAAAUUAAAUUCUAUGAUAUUUUCAUCAAGAAAUAUCAUUACUUUCAUGCUUUAACUCAACAUAGGAUUGUCCGAACAUCCAUUUGUAUUGGUGAUU
This 201-nucleotide unclassified non-coding RNA is filed under the name Hevea brasiliensis (rubber tree). Lineage: Eukaryota; Viridiplantae; Streptophyta; Magnoliopsida; Malpighiales; Euphorbiaceae. The record is from RNAcentral.